AGAUUCAUAAUUUCAUAAACACAAUGGCAUCCAUUCAUUCUACCUAUUUUUUUUUGUCUCAAAUUAGGGGAAUAGCACGAGAUUACAAUCACAGCAAGGCAAUGAUGGGAAAGAUGGAUGUGAAGCCAUACUUUUGAUUGCUAAGAUUCCAGGAAAAUACUUCAGUUAAUUCAGCAUUAAAUGAAUUAAGCCUUAUUAGAUUACAUUAUGAUAUUUCACCUAAAUGUAAUAAUAAUUUUUCUUAGUUAGGGAGGAAGACUUUAUUUUUUAGAGGCUAUUAAAAUCAUUUCAGGGCAUCUUUUAGAAAAUUAUUCGCCUAAAAAUAUUAUUGGAGAUGGCAAUUGUUUUUAUCGUAUAACAAGGAGGAACGUCUCUACAUGAGAGUCCUGACAUCAAUAGAAAUAAAUAUUAAAAGAAUGAAUGUAUUAUGAUUAAGAUGAUAAAUUUUACAUUAGCAAUGAAACAAUAAGUGAUGAAAGAAUAUCAACUUCUAACUACAAUCAAAUUUUAAAAGAUGCAUUAAUGGUAAUAGGGUGGGAUCAAAUGAUGCAUCAAGUGCUGCUGUGGGGGAAGCAUUUCAAUCCUACUGCCCGCCUUCUAAUUGUGGAAUAUAUAGCGCCUAUACCUCACCACUAUAAUUAUCCUGAUGUCAAAUUUUAAUCCAUAUCAUUUCUGUUUACAAUCAUUACUAUCGAGUGCCCCAAUAUUGUUAGUCAUUUGUUGCUUAGAAUUGAGGAUGCGCCAUACAUAUUUUCCAUUAGUUCAGAAUAAUUCCAAACAUAUCUUUUCAACUCCAAUCGAAUAUCCACCUUUUAUUAGCUAUUUAUCAACUAUUUUAUCUAUUAAUGAUGAUUUACUAUUCGAUUCUCCAAUUUCAGUUGACAAUGAGUAACAUAUAGAUACCGGAAAAGAAAUACAUGAACGCUCAACCCGCCAACAAUUCUCAUUAGAUAUUAAUCCACGUUAAAAGCCCAAGUCAUUAUGUCUCAGAGAGUGUUUCUCCUUUUAGUAACAAAUGGAAAUUCGAACAAAUACACAUACCUUAUCGCAUCUCUAAUCUUUACUUUUAUAAAUUAUUGAUAUUAAAUUCAUCGAAAUCUCUUUUUUAUACAUUAUUUUUUAAAUAGUCGCCAAAACGAACGUAUCAUUUUAUUUACAAAUAAAAUAUACCGCCAUUUAUAAUAUUAUCGCAAUCCCUUAUCUAAAAGAAUAUUCUCAAAAAAAUAUCAAUAUGAGGGGCUUGUCUAUCCUAUUGUGCUUGCUAAUAAAUAAUUUAAAUUAAUCUUACUAAAUAAUAACA
Molecule: long non-coding RNA, 1300 nt
Organism: Gordionus sp. m RMFG-2023
Lineage: Eukaryota; Metazoa; Nematomorpha; Gordioida; Chordodea; Parachordodidae
Exons: 3
Source: RefSeq, a predicted model, not a curated record